RNAcentral lists this long non-coding RNA (1784 nucleotides) under Penaeus chinensis. Its description in RNAcentral is "uncharacterized LOC125026606". Lineage: Eukaryota; Metazoa; Arthropoda; Malacostraca; Decapoda; Penaeidae. The record is from RNAcentral.
UUCACCCUCUAAGCUGAAAAGGCUUCGGUGGUCAACCCUGAGGAAAAAUCCGGAGCCGGAGUCCCGAAGGCAGUUCAUUGUCGCUUGCGAACGCGUUCUGGCACCUCCUGCGACGCCGCUGGUGCCAACCCGCAUCGGUCUGUGCCGUUCCUCUGGAUCCAUCAGCGGCGUGGAGAGAGGAGCCGGCAGCAUGGGCACCAGCUUGCUCCUCACAUUCUCUCGCCCAGGCAGUGACUCUACCUAUACGGGAGUGGGUAGAGACAAUAAUGCCAAAGUGGCACUGUCGUCAUAUAUAAAAAGGAAUGGUCCCUGGGCUGAUCCCCCCGAGGCAUCGCGGCGCCGGACAGAAGCCCCGCUCGUUUUUUUGUUUUUCGGUAAUUUUGAAAAUCAGUGGGUUUUGAAUUGACGGUAGACGGCGGAAUUUAGCGAUAGUAGAUUUUUUUUUUUUUUUUUGAGAUCGCAUUUUUUCCGCGAAACAAAUACAGGUCAGAUUACCUGAACCUUUUUUUUUUUUUUUUUUUGGCCUAACUAGGAAUACUAUCUCUGCCGUUUUCUUUUCAGCAUGACUAAACUUCCGCCAGACAUACCCAUUUCACUGAUAAAAGCCUUCUGCAGAAACCACUGCCGCCCUGCUGUCGGCAGUUCACCUGGCACGGGAGCUCACGGGGUACUAUCCCUGUGCCCCAGGGUGCAUUUUAACGUCCGGCCCAGGGCAAAUAUAUUCAUUCCUAUUCAUCGCCGAUGCGGGGUUUGACGAACUACAUCUUGUAGUUGACUGAGUCUUUCUAGUGGGGUGGCUGGCCGAGAUCCUUCCCCAGGGGAGCAGUUGGUUGCGUAAUCCCUGUUGGGGCUUCUCAACCCACCGCCAGAACUCCGGUCGACGCACCCGCUAUCGGACCUUUAUUGACGUAGAAUAUCGAGCUUGUUGACUUGUUUUAGAAUUUUUCGAAAUCACUGUGCCUUUAAGAACGUUUCUGUGUGAAUGACAUUUCUUACUGAUUUGCCCAUAUACACAAGCUUUCUUUGUUUGAUCAAUUUAUUGUGCUGCCUAGUGUAACACACUUGAUAUACAAUGCUAAAGGAAAAGAGGCUCUUCUCAUGGAAUGUGUUCAAGGUUUUAUCGUUUUGGAAAACAGUAUUUAGUCGAAUUUAUGGGGCUGAAGACAUCUGUAUCUAUGUAUCUAUAUAUCUGUCUGUAUCUAUGUCUAUAUCUAUAUCUGUCUAUAUAGUAUCCUUUUCUACCAUGACCUUCCCAUUGUCACCCCAAAGUCCAUACUAUUUCUCAAGCCUCUGUAUAAAUCAUCACCACCAACUUCCUCUUAAUGAUUCCUAGAAAAUGUUCGAUCGCAAGAGCUGUAUUCAUCGCCAUCCGCUGUGCCUCCGGUCCAUUCUCUCAACCCCGUCAGCCCAUACGUAAAUUUCGCCUUCCUUUCCCUCGCCAUUUCCACUGAGUGUCCUCUCCAUAGACUCAUCUGCCAGCUCUACCGCUCCUGUUCUCCAGUCCUGCCACCAAUGAACCCGAAUUCAUCUUUAUUUGACCUUAAUUGACACGCCGGGGCAGCUGGCUGACCUGACCUCACUCCGGAAUAACAGGAUGCUCCCUGGAGGGGGACACGCCUGCGGGGGCCAGCGGGUUCCAACGCCCUGGGCAAAGGAUAGGGGAAGAGUGACCCAGCCUGUCCCAAAAUGAAUCAGAAACAGUCCGGCCCUUGAACCGAGCACACCUUCCCUUUCCUCCCGUAGAAGCUGACGCCGUCUUCGCCACGAAUUACCACUUACCAUAU